GAUGAACGCUGGCGGCGUGCCUAAUACAUGCAAGUCGAGCGAACAGACGAGGAGCUUGCUCCUCUGCCGUUAGCGGCGGACGGGUGAGUAACACGUGGAUAACCUACCUAUAAGACUGGGAUAACUUCGGGAAACCGGAGCUAAUACCGGAUAAUAUAUUGAACCGCAUGGUUCAAUAGUGAAAGACGGUUUUGCUGUCACUUAUAGAUGGAUCCGCGCCGCAUUAGCUAGUUGGUAAGGUAACGGCUUACCAAGGCAACGAUGCGUAGCCGACCUGAGAGGAUGAUCGGCCACACUGGAACUGAGACACGGUCCAGACUCCUACGGGAGGCAGCAGUAGGGAAUCUUCCGCAAUGGGCGAAAGCUUGACGGAGCAACGCCGCGUGAGUGAUGAAGGUCUUCGGAUCGUAAAACUCUGUUAUUAGGGAAGAACAAAUGUGUAAGUAACUAUGCACGUCUUGACGGUACCUAAUCAGAAAGCCACGGCUAACUACGUG
Molecule: ribosomal RNA, 497 nt
Filed under: uncultured bacterium
Lineage: Bacteria
Description: partial 16S ribosomal RNA
Rfam family: Bacterial small subunit ribosomal RNA
Source: RNAcentral